Molecule: ribosomal RNA, 433 nt
Filed under: uncultured bacterium
Lineage: Bacteria
Description: partial 16S ribosomal RNA
Rfam family: Bacterial small subunit ribosomal RNA
Source: RNAcentral
AACGAACGCUGGCGGCAUGCCUAACACAUGCAAGUCGAACGAGACCUUCGGGUCUAGUGGCGCACGGGUGCGUAACGCGUGGGAACCUGCCCUUAGGUUCGGAAUAACUCCCCGAAAGGGGUGCUAAUACCGGAUAAUGUCUUCGGACCAAAGAUUUAUCGCCUUUGGAUGGGCCCGCGUUGGAUUAGCUAGUUGGUAGGGUAAAAGCCUACCAAGGCGACGAUCCAUAGCUGGUCGGAGAGGAUGAUCAGCCACACUGGGACUGAGAUACGGCCCAGACUCCUACGGGAGGCAGCAGUGGGGAAUAUUGGACGAUGGGCGAAAGCCUGAUCCAGCAAUGCCGCGUGAGUGAUGAAGGCCUUAGGGUUGUAAAGCUCUUUUACCCGGGAUGAUAAUGACAGUACCGGGAGAAUAAGCACCGGCUAACUCCGUG